This 163-nucleotide non-coding RNA is filed under the name uncultured Paramuribaculum sp. The record is from RNAcentral. Lineage: Bacteria; Pseudomonadati; Bacteroidota; Bacteroidia; Bacteroidales; Muribaculaceae.
UCCGACGGUGAUUAAAAGGGAAUCAGGUGUGAAUCCUGAACAGACCCGCUACUGUAUGUUCCAUACAACCGACCGGAUACAAUCGGAUGUCACUGAGCGCUAUUGCGCUUGGGAAGGCAGUCCGGGAGGGGAACAAGUCAGGAGACCUGCCAUGUGUUUUAAU